Molecule: small nuclear RNA, 20 nt
Filed under: Arabidopsis thaliana (thale cress)
Lineage: Eukaryota; Viridiplantae; Streptophyta; Magnoliopsida; Brassicales; Brassicaceae
Description: snRNA_12924
Source: RNAcentral
ACAAAGCAUUGCGAUGGUCC